UUGCCUCAGUAACGGCGAGUGAAGCGGCAACAGCUCAAAUUUGAAAUCUGGCUUCGGUCCGAGUUGUAAUUUGUAGAGGAUGCUUCGGCUUACGUACCGGUCUAAGUUCCUUGGAACAGGACGUCACAGAGGGUGAGAAUCCCGUUUGUGGCCGGCACUUCCGCCAUGUGAAGCUCCUUCGACGAGUCGAGUUGUUUGGGAAUGCAGCUCUAAAUGGGAGGUAAAUUUCUUCUAAAGCUAAAUACCGGCCAGAGACCGAUAGCGCACAAGUAGAGUGAUCGAAAGAUGAAAAGCACUUUGGAAAGAGAGUUAAAAAGUACGUGAAAUUGUUGAAAGGGAAGCGCUUGCGACCAGACUUGCCCGCGGAUGCUCAACCGGUCCUUCGGCCGGUGCACUCUUCCGCGGUCAGGCCAGCAUCAGUUCGGGCGGUCGGAUAAAGGCCUUGGGAAUGUGGCUCUCUUCGGGGAGUGUUAUAGCCCUUGGUGCAAUACGGCCCGCCUGGACUGAGGCCCGCGCUUCGGCUAGGAUGCUGGCGUAAUGGUCGUAAGCGGCCCGUCUUGAAACACGGACCAAGGAGUCUAACAUCUAUGCGAGUGUUUGGGUGUCAAACCCGUGCGCGAAAUGAAAGUGAACGGAGGUGGGAACCUUAGGGUGCACCAUCGACCGAUCCUGAUGUCUUCGGAUGGAUUUGAGUAAGAGCAUAGCUGUUGGGACCCGAAAGAUGGUGAACUAUGCCUGAAUAGGGUGAAGCCAGAGGAAACUCUGGUGGAGGCUCGCAGCGGUUCUGACGUGCAAAUCGAUCGUCAAAUUUGGGUAUAGGGGCGAAAGACUAAUCGAACCAU
This 842-nucleotide ribosomal RNA is filed under the name Neohelicosporium guangxiense. Its description in RNAcentral is "LSU rRNA". It matches the Rfam family "Eukaryotic large subunit ribosomal RNA", at positions 75 to 943 of the family's 3401-position model. The record is from RNAcentral. Lineage: Eukaryota; Fungi; Ascomycota; Dothideomycetes; Tubeufiales; Tubeufiaceae.